RNAcentral lists this ribosomal RNA (226 nucleotides) under uncultured bacterium. RNAcentral's name for it is "partial 16S ribosomal RNA". It matches the Rfam family "Bacterial small subunit ribosomal RNA", at positions 233 to 458 of the family's 1533-position model. The record is from RNAcentral.
GCGGCCCAUCAGGUAGUUGGUAGGGUAACGGCCUACCAAGGCGAUGACGGGUAGCCGGCCUGAGAGGGCGACCGGCCACACUGGGACUGAGACACGGCCCAGACUCCUACGGGAGGCAGCAGUGGGGAAUCUUGCGCAAUGGGCGAAAGCCUGACGCAGCGACGCCGCGUGGGGGAUGAAGGCCUUCGGGUUGUAAACCCCUUUCAGCACCGACGAAUGAAGGACG